RNAcentral lists this ribosomal RNA (252 nucleotides) under uncultured Bacteroidales bacterium. Its description in RNAcentral is "partial 16S ribosomal RNA". It matches the Rfam family "Bacterial small subunit ribosomal RNA", at positions 524 to 776 of the family's 1533-position model. Lineage: Bacteria; Pseudomonadati; Bacteroidota; Bacteroidia; Bacteroidales. The record is from RNAcentral.
UACGGAGGAUGCGAGCGUUAUCCGGAAUGAUUGGGCGUAAAGGGUGCGCAGGCGGUCUGUUAAGUCAGCGGUCAAAGCCCGGGGCUCAACCCCGGCGAGCCGUUGAAACUGCCGUGCUAGAGAGGAAGAGAAGUAGGCGGAAUGCGCAGUGUAGCGGUGAAAUGCUUAGAUAUUGCGCAGAACUCCGAUUGCGAAGGCAGCCUACCGGCUUCUGUCUGACGCUGAGGCACGAAAGCGUGGGUAUCGAACAGG